RNAcentral lists this ribosomal RNA (500 nucleotides) under uncultured bacterium. RNAcentral describes it as "bacterial SSU rRNA". It matches the Rfam family "Bacterial small subunit ribosomal RNA", at positions 28 to 526 of the family's 1533-position model. The record is from RNAcentral.
GAUGAACGCUAGCGGCAGGCUUAACACAUGCAAGUCGAGGGGCAGCGGGGUCUUCGGACCGCCGGCGACCGGCGCACGGGUGCGUAACGCGUAUGCAACCUACCUAUAACAGGGGGAUAAUCCGGAGAAAUCUGGUCUAAUACCCCAUAACACUACGAACGGCAUCGUUUGAAGUUGAAAUUUUCGGAGGUUAUAGAUGGGCAUGCGUGACAUUAGCUAGAUGGUGAGGUAACGGCUCACCAUGGCAACGAUGUCUAGGGGGACUGAGAGGUUAACCCCCCACACUGGUACUGAGACACGGACCAGACUCCUACGGGAGGCAGCAGUGAGGAAUAUUGGUCAAUGGACGGAAGUCUGAACCAGCCAUGCCGCGUGCAGGAUGACGGCUCUAUGAGUUGUAAACUGCUUUUGUAUAGGGGUAAAAGUAGAUACGUGUAUCUAUCUGAAAGUACUAUACGAAUAAGGAUCGGCUAACUCCGUGCCAGCAGCCGCCGUAACAC